Molecule: ribosomal RNA, 446 nt
Filed under: uncultured bacterium
Lineage: Bacteria
Description: partial 16S ribosomal RNA
Rfam family: Bacterial small subunit ribosomal RNA
Source: RNAcentral
GUGAGGAAUAUUGUGCAAUGGAGGCAACUCUGACGCAGCCAUGCCGCGUGCAGGAAGAAGGCGCUACGCGUUGUAAACUGCUUUUAACCGGGAAGAAACCCCAGGACGUGUCCUGGGUUGACGGUACCGGAGGAAUAAGCACCGGCUAACUUCGUGCCAGCAGCCGCGGUAAUACGAAGGGUGCAAGCGUUAUCCGGAUUCAUUGGGUUUAAAGGGUGCGUAGGCGGAGCGUUAAGUCAGUGGUGAAAUCCUGCAGCUUAACUGUAGACUUGCCAUUGAUACUGGCGCUCUUGAGUGCGCUUGAAGUGGGCGGAAUGUGCCGUGUAGUGGUGAAAUGCUUAGAUAUGGCACAGAACACCAAUUGCGAAGGCAGCUCACUAAGGCGAUACUGACGCUGAGGCACGAAAGCGUGGGGAUCGAACAGGAUUAGAUACCCCUGGUAGUCC